GCGGACGUGGCGGAAUUGGCAUACGCGUACGGCUUAGGACCGUAUCCCUCUGGGAUGAGAGUUCAAGUCUCUCCGUCCGCACCA
Molecule: transfer RNA, 84 nt
Filed under: Candidatus Omnitrophota bacterium
Lineage: Bacteria; Pseudomonadati; Candidatus Omnitrophota
Description: Candidatus Omnitrophica bacterium tRNA-Leu
Rfam family: tRNA
About the family: Transfer RNA (tRNA) molecules are approximately 80 nucleotides in length. Their secondary structure includes four short double-helical elements and three loops (D, anti-codon, and T loops).
Source: RNAcentral